This 375-nucleotide unclassified non-coding RNA is filed under the name Hevea brasiliensis (rubber tree). Lineage: Eukaryota; Viridiplantae; Streptophyta; Magnoliopsida; Malpighiales; Euphorbiaceae. The record is from RNAcentral.
AAACUAUGAUGACAUGAAAUAUGCCAUAAGGAAACUUGAUGAUUCUGAAUUUCGAAAUGCCUUUUCUCGAGCAUAUGUACGGGUCAAGGAGUAUGACUCUAGACGUAGCUACUCCAGGAGCCCAUCUCGUGAUUCUAGACGAAGUGAGUAUUCAAGGAGCCCUAGUUGUAGUCCCUAUAGGGAAAGAGGUCGGAGCCGAAGCAGAAGUCGAAGUCGAACCCUCAGUCGUAGCCGUAGCCGUAGUCAUAGCGGCAGGAGCACUAGUCUAUCUCCGAGGCACAAGCACUCUCGUCGGUCAAGGUCAAUUUCUGAACAAUCCCCAUCAAAGUCUCUUACAAGAUAUGGGCUUUUGCGGAACAAUUGGGACUUCAUGUU